RNAcentral lists this ribosomal RNA (253 nucleotides) under uncultured bacterium. RNAcentral's name for it is "partial 16S ribosomal RNA". It matches the Rfam family "Bacterial small subunit ribosomal RNA", at positions 524 to 776 of the family's 1533-position model. The record is from RNAcentral.
UACGUAGGGUGCGAGCGUUAAUCGGAAUUACUGGGCGUAAAGUGUGCGCAGGUGGCCGCGCAAGUCGAGUGUGAAAUCCCCGAGCUUAACUUGGGAAUUGCGCUCGAAACUACGUGGCUCGAGUGUGGCAGAGGAAGGUGGAAUUCCACGUGUAGCGGUGAAAUGCGUAGAGAUGUAGAGGAACACCGAUGGCGAAGGCAGCCUUCUGGGCCAACACUGACGCUCAUGCACGAAAGCGUGGGGAGCAAACAGG